Long non-coding RNA from Vespa crabro (European hornet), 1697 nucleotides. RefSeq lists it as uncharacterized. The record is from RefSeq and is a predicted model, not a curated record. NCBI's taxonomy places the organism in Eukaryota, Metazoa, Arthropoda, Insecta, Hymenoptera, Vespidae. The transcript has 3 exons.
CACAUCCUUUUUACGUAACAAGGAGACUCGUCAAGAGUAUUAGCUGAAACGCGGCCAUAGUUGAGCAACGAGGAAGGCCGUUAUAUCGUAACGGCCACCGGUGUGUGCAGUACGGAAUGUGGAAUCGCGGAUGAAAAAACGUGUCACGAAUCCUUGACCUCCUCUCGUAUACACAAGGUGCUAGCUUAGGAGAGCACUUGGGCGAUCAACCACAAGAAAGAUGGCUACCUAAAUACUCUUAGAUUCUUCAAUCUCUUUUUCACGUAUAAUAGAAUUUCUUAGGUACAAUUGCGAACGCAAGGAACCUCGUUGACAAUCGAUUUGGAAAAUGAAGCAACAGACUUAGCGCGUUUGUCUUUCGAUAUAAUCGAUUUCCAUCACUUUGAAGUCUUCUUGACUGUGCUUCUACGAUAAGACUAGAAGGAAAGCAUGUUCGAUCGUAUAUUACUUGAAGAAAAAGAGAGAGAAAGAGAGAGAGAGAGAGAGAGAGAGAGAGAGAGAGAGAGAGAGAGAGAGAGAGAAAGCUCUUCCAUCUUCUACGUAUGCUGUUACGUUAACUUAUGGAAAGAUAUGACCGCUCCAAUGCCUUCUGAAAUUGAAUUACACGCAUGGUGAUCCACGUAAAAGAGGUGGCUACCUGUGCAUGCAGAAUGAGGACAUGUUAAGGCACUAUUUGUAUUACAUGUAAACUGGAGAAUGUUUGGUUGGAUGCCAAGGAAAAAAGUAAGAUUCUCCAAAUAAUCGCAAAAUCCACUCUGAUAUCCUAUCUUAAUCCUUUUUUUCUUUUAAUUUUUAAUGAAAAAAAUAAAACGAUAUUACCGUAAUUUUUAAAAAUGAAAAACUUAUUGUUACAUAUAUGUUACAUUAAACUAUAAUUUAUUAGUACAUAUAUAUUGUAAUUUUGCAACGUCAUGGAUUUAAUCUCAUUGUUAUCAUGAAUUUAUUAUAAAAAAUUAUAAUUAUUGUUUCUCUCGUAGAAAACUUCUUUGUUCUUUAUAAAAUAUCUAUAUAUACAAGAGUAUAAUAGUUCUUGUCAAAUCAGAUGUCUAAAUAGUAAACGUUUAAUUAAAUCGAUACGAUUACACGUGUUGUAUAUUAUCCGAUUGGAAAGACAGUUUCUUUACAUUUUGAAAAUAAUAUAUUUUAUAAACAUGUUGCAUCCUGUGAGCCACGCGAGUAUGUAACAGCCUAAUGGAAAUAUGUAUGGAGAAUGCGUGACAAGAAUCCAUGGCCUAUACAGACAGAUCUGUUUAGCUUCCGGUGUUUAUCGUAUCCUAACGAGCUUUGUAGUACUCAGCCUUACAGAUAAGGACAGCUCGUGAAUGAUGCACCUCCCUUUCCUCUCCACACGUUACCUUUUAUGGAUGUUUUACGAUAUACGUUCACAAGUGUACGCGUGUUGGGCGUCAAAUGAAUGAAUUUCCAUGUGGCACUACGUAAUCGUAUAUUCUAAGUAUUCAAAUGAAAGAAUAAAAUGAUUUCCUCUUUGUAUAAAAUUAAUAACUUGGUAAGAAAAAAAAAGAAAUAAAAAUAAAAAUGAAAGAAAGACAAAAAGAAAGAAAGAAAGAAAGAAAGAAAAAUAAAGAUAAAAAUUUUUUUUUUCAAUCAUCACCAACGAUAAGACGAACGAUUCAAUGUAAAAUCGUGUUUAUAUUUGAGCCAAUUACCGAAUGAAAUAGAAUUUAAUUAAAUAAGCU